CCGAGUCAUCAUAUGUGCAUCUAUAUUGAACAAGUCAAUUGGUCGAGCAAAGUUGAUUUUAUCCAAGUGAAAAAUUUCUUAUUGUGGUCUUCGAUACGUCGUGCUUCUGCUGGCUUUUUUACAUUGCUCGCACACCUUCCCUCACGUAAUAAUACAAGAUUUCGAAAAACCAGAUAGAGCCGGUUAUUUCUGCCUGUUCUUCAGUCAAGCUGGUUGAUGCCCUCGACCGAAAAAGAUUCCAAUGUAUGAACGUUUUAUGCCGUCGUACCAAUUGCUAAUUUUUACUCGGAUUUUUGCUCAUAACUUUUUCACGCAAAGCAUUAACGGCUUGCCACUGUCCAAAUGGUAGUAAAGGAGUUGAACGCUUUUAUCACUGCUUUCCUCAUGAGACGUUUUGUGGAUAUGUGUACAAACUACAUGAUGGUGUUUGCUGCAUCUGAGAACGACUGUGUGAUAAAAAAUUAGCAUAUUAAAACUAAAAAAAAUAGUUAUGUUAUUUGCUCUUGUUAUUUGAUGUAAUAUUAAAUUAUUUGAAAUGUAAA
This is a long non-coding RNA of Xenia sp. Carnegie-2017, 542 nucleotides long. RefSeq lists it as uncharacterized. NCBI's taxonomy places the organism in Eukaryota, Metazoa, Cnidaria, Anthozoa, Malacalcyonacea, Xeniidae. The transcript has 5 exons. The record is from RefSeq and is a predicted model, not a curated record.